This is a long non-coding RNA of Salvia hispanica, 810 nucleotides long. RefSeq lists it as uncharacterized. Lineage: Eukaryota; Viridiplantae; Streptophyta; Magnoliopsida; Lamiales; Lamiaceae. The record is from RefSeq and is a predicted model, not a curated record.
AAAAUAAAAAGAGCUUGAGUUUUGGGAGGUAUUGUGCAAAAUCCGGACAGUUUGAGGUAGCAAAUGGGUAGGAAUAUUUUGGUGGGUAUCUUUUGUGAAAUAAUGGAAUUAAGGGGUUGUUUAUGGAAUUUGAAGAAACUUGGAGUAUUUAACUCCAAUACUCCCCUUUCCAGAUCCCUAUCCGCCGCCACCCCUAUUUCCUUUUCUUCAAUUUUGUAGCUUCUGGAUGGUGGGUGUUGAUCGAUGCUUUCCUCGCCGCCGACCUUACCUCCAACGGCCUCAAGCUGUGUUGCUCCUUCACUAACUUUUGCAACGUCUACUUUAAUGCCUCCUUCUGUCUCUGUCACGGCACUAAUUACAGCGCCCUCCGUGGCAGCAGGUCGACCGUUGCUCAUUGCCACCAUGGUACCGGCGCUGGCAGCUCUCCGUCGUCCCUCUUGGUUUCGACGUAACGGUGAUGUCGAAUCACAACAAUUGACAAGGACGCAAGCCUGAAAAAGAGUUUCACCACGAAGAUAUGGUCUUCCGCGGUUUCCUAAUUGGGAGGAGCUGUGUCAAUGGGUUUCCUAGUUCCGCGGUUUUGAUAUGAUCUGCCCUUCUCGUCGGCCUUGAGUAUCUUAGAAAUCCAUGGCUAACAAACUAAGAACUGAGUGGUUUUUGAGAAGAAAAAUACCUGUACAACUAAGAAAAAAGGGGAAUAUAUAAUGAGGCUAAUUAACCAAGCGCGUUUUGUUUAGCUGUUUUAUUUUACGGCUGUAUGAUAUUUUGAGACUUUAUGUACACCAAAAACAAAUUUCAUUCACCAUUCUA